UAACGGUUUCCGGGAAUUUUUUGGGCGUAAGGGCUCGCAGGCGGUUUCUUAAGUCUGAUGUGAAAAGCCCCCGGCUUCCCGGGGAGGGUCAUUGGAAACUGGGAAACUUGAGUGCCGCACAGGAGAGUGGAAUUCUCCCUGUCCUGCCUCAAAUGCCCCCACUUGUGGAGGAACACCAGUGGCGAAGGCGACUCUCUGGUCUGUAACUGACGCUGAGGAGCGAAAGCGUGGGGAGCGAACAGGAUUAGAUACCCUGGUAGUCCACGCCGUAAACGAUGAGUGCUAAGUGUUAGGGGGUUUCCGCCCCUUAGUGCUGCAGCUAACGCAUUAAGCACUCCGCCUGGGGAGUACGGUCGCAAGACU
Molecule: ribosomal RNA, 363 nt
Filed under: Bacillus subtilis
Lineage: Bacteria; Bacillati; Bacillota; Bacilli; Caryophanales; Bacillaceae
Description: bacterial SSU rRNA
Rfam family: Bacterial small subunit ribosomal RNA
Source: RNAcentral